RNAcentral lists this long non-coding RNA (246 nucleotides) under Bos taurus (domestic cattle). RNAcentral's name for it is "long non-coding RNA NONBTAT025938". The record is from RNAcentral. Lineage: Eukaryota; Metazoa; Chordata; Mammalia; Artiodactyla; Bovidae.
CUUUUGUGAACUAUGUCAUAAAUAAUAAAACCACACUUUAGAGAUAAUAUAAAGUUGAUCAUUUGGGGUUUAUAUUUAACUAAAUCCAGGCAUGCUUCCUUAGAGAAUAAAUGAGCCCUUCAGAGCUGAUUUAGUAGUCUCACCUCCUUUCCCCAUCUCUAGCCCUGAUGUUAAGUUUUUUCUUUUCUCCCUCACCCUUCUUCCCAUUCCCAGCACUGACUGGUUUUCCCUGAGCCUACUUCUCUC